RNAcentral lists this ribosomal RNA (543 nucleotides) under uncultured Nigrospora. RNAcentral's name for it is "eukaryotic LSU rRNA". The stretch from base 187 to 340 matches the Rfam family "5.8S ribosomal RNA". The record is from RNAcentral. Lineage: Eukaryota; Fungi; Ascomycota; Sordariomycetes; Trichosphaeriales.
CUUUCCGUAGGGUAACCUGCGGAGGGAUCAUUACAGAGUUAUCCAACUCCCAAACCCAUGUGAACAUAUCUCUUUGUUGCCUCGGCGCAAGCUACCCGGGACCUCGCGCCCCGGGCGGCCCGCCGGCGGACAAACCAAACUCUGUUAUCUUCGUUGAUUAUCUGAGUGUCUUAUUUAAUAAGUCAAAACUUUCAACAACGGAUCUCUUGGUUCUGGCAUCGAUGAAGAACGCAGCGAAAUGCGAUAAGUAAUGUGAAUUGCAGAAUUCAGUGAAUCAUCGAAUCUUUGAACGCACAUUGCGCCCAUUAGUAUUCUAGUGGGCAUGCCUGUUCGAGCGUCAUUUCAACCCCUAAGCACAGCUUAUUGUUGGGCGUCUACGUCUGUAGUGCCUCAAAGACAUUGGCGGAGCGGCAGCAGUCCUCUGAGCGUAGUAAUUCUUUAUCUCGCUUCUGUUAGGCGCUGCCCCCCCGGCCGUAAAACCCCCAAUUUUUUCUGGUUGACCUCGGAUCAGGUAGGAAUACCCGCUGAACUUAAGCAUAUAAA